RNAcentral lists this ribosomal RNA (492 nucleotides) under uncultured bacterium. RNAcentral's name for it is "partial 16S ribosomal RNA". It matches the Rfam family "Bacterial small subunit ribosomal RNA", at positions 29 to 507 of the family's 1533-position model. The record is from RNAcentral.
AGUGAACGCUGGCGGUAGGCCUAACACAUGCAAGUCGAACGGCAGCACAGUAAGAGCUUGCUCUUACGGGUGGCGAGUGGCGGACGGGUGAGGAAUACAUCGGAAUCUACUUUUUCGUGGGGGAUAACGUAGGGAAACUUACGCUAAUACCGCAUACGACCUACGGGUGAAAGCAGGGGAUCUUCGGACCUUGCGCGAUUGAAUGAGCCGAUGUGGGAUUGGCUAGUUGGGGGGGUAAAGGCCCACCAAGGCGACGAUCCGUAGCUGGUCUGAGAGGAGGACCAGCCACACUGGAGCGGAGGCACGGUCCAGACUCCGACGGGAGGCAGCAGCGGGGAAUAUUGCACAAUGGGCGCAAGCCUGAUGCAGCCAUGCCGCUUGUAUGAAGAAGGCCUUCGGGUUGUAAAAUACUUUCAGCGGGGAGGAAGGGAGUAAAGUUAAUACCUUUACUCAUUGACGUUACCCGCAGAAGAAGCACCGGCUAACUCCGUG